Long non-coding RNA from Raphanus sativus (radish), 1464 nucleotides. RefSeq lists it as uncharacterized. The record is from RefSeq and is a predicted model, not a curated record. The transcript has 3 exons. NCBI's taxonomy places the organism in Eukaryota, Viridiplantae, Streptophyta, Magnoliopsida, Brassicales, Brassicaceae.
UUUAGCUAUUCCAACUACAAAGCUUCUUAACCAACUAGUGUCUCUUAUCCCUUAAUUUUUUGUCCAUGCCAGCAGUUCCUUUGACUUCUUCAUUUAAGUACCUAUCAGUUCAAGUCCUUUUCACCAAGAUAUUGUUGGAAGGUAAAGGAGGCGAACGUACUUCUUGAAACAGUAAAUUACUUCGCUUGUGCUCGUCUCAAGAAGAAUGAUGGCUACAACAUUCAAAUAACUGGCAAGUUAGUUAGUAACUACUAGAAAAUUUGAUGAAUAUUGAAAGUUUUUCUUUUCUUUUGAAUGGAGGAAACUUCAGGUGGUUUGAUGUAUGUUCGGAAUUAUCUCUCUGCAGCAAAUGCUAAACUCAAUUGUCCUUAUGGUUCGGUUCAACCUCAAGCCUUUCUAGAUUUUGCAAGAUCUGAGCUGAUUACAUUCUGUGAAAAAAGCUGCCAAGGAAUGAAUUGUCUAUUUGGGUAUGGACCAAAAUACCCAACCAGAGUUCACCAUAGAGGCACGUCAUUCCCUUCAAUCUUUGGUCAACGUUCUUCUGUGAACUGUGGUGGUAUAAAAUGUCUCACACUGAUAUGUUAUCUAGCCAUGGUGCUCUGGUUGGUGGACCAGACCAGAAUGAUUACUAUACAGAUGAAGGAUAAACUACGAGCAAUCAGAACCAACUUUGUUUGGAACAGCUCUACUUGUUUGUCUAUUCGCUAAACUCACAGGAAAAUUAGGUAACUAGACAAUAAACAUCACUCCCGUUCCGUGAAUCAUCAAAUAAUGUAAUGAAACUUUCUAGGUCUUAUGGAAGAGGAUCUUCUAAACCUUAAAAAGCCAACAAAACCCAUUAGGUUGAUGAUCUUCUUACUCGCUCUACGACUUCUUGCCUCUUCGGCCAUAAUCUGAUUCUCAUUUUCAGUUAAGACUUCGCACAGUUUCGUCUUAGAAAGCAACACCAACACCAUACACUCCAAAGAAAACAAGUGCACCAGUCGAACUUCGAACUUCAUUCAAUAACUGCUAACUGGAUAGCCGGGAACUGUAGGUACUACUACAAACAAAGUGCUAAUCAAAAAACAAAUUCUCAGCUACAGAAUGAAGAUUUCUAGCAACGCUAAACCUAACAGGGCAAAAAUAUGCAUACCACCUACAAAAGGGGCAAAUGAUAUCUGACCUAUAUGGGUCUCUGUUUUUACUACUAAUCCACUUUGUUAACAUCCAGUUUUACGGUUGUUUAUAUAUCAUUAGAGUGAUAAGAUUUCAAAGCUAAAGGAAGACCAUGAUUCAACACAAAAGCACUCAAAACUGAGUUUUAAUUUAAAUUCAGACAAAAAUAUAAGGAUUCAGACACGACUCGAGUAGAAAAAAAACUAAAAUAAUAAAAACAAGCAUAGCAUCAAACGGCUAAAGGACUUGAGAACACAUUCUCUUCUCCAUAAGGCUUCUAAUCGUCAAAGGUAGUCUUCGUGCCUG